AAUUGUCAAGAUUUUUGCUACAUUUUUGGUGUAGAUUUUAGGGACAUUAAUGUAGUGCUAAUGCCUUCCGUGCAGGUUAUUCAGUCAACACAUAUUCUGUCUUUUGGCAUGUGUAUGCUUGCUCUUGUGCUCAUGUUGUAAUCGUGACCUGUAAUCAGUCCAUGAUCCUUGUGUGACCAGAAGUUGGGCAUAACUGCAUUGUUACUGAGAAGAUGUGAAUAUUAACUUAGGGAUCGGAGCUGAAGCUCUAGCCGAUAGCAAAGAUAUGAAGUCUGUGCUCUGUCUUAUGUUUGCAAGUAUAUUGAUGUAACUUCACAUCUUGAAUGGAGUCACUCCUAUGUGUACUGCCGCUGUAAUUACACAACAUGAAUUUUCCGUUUUUGUGAUCAGAAAUUUUGCCAAGAAACUUGUUGGAUUAACUACGAUUUUGUCCUAUUUACUACUAGCAUUUAUUCUUAUCUCUCAACAUAUUCUUGCCCCUAUCUAGGACAGUCGGAAGAAGAGAGCUUCGACUGGGAAACAGCGUGUUGAAGCAAUACCUCUUGUUGAACCACCCAAAACCAAAGAAGCCUCUUAGAUUGCGAGAGGCCUGUUGUGUUUAGUAAGAAACUUGGCGUAAAAUAUCCAAAAUAUCAGGAACACUAUGUAUUGGGCAGACCUGAAAUACUAAUAUAAGUGUAUCCAAUUUUUCCUACGAUUCCCUUCCUCGCCCAUGGACGUGGACCACGUCUUUGGCUUUGCAAGUCCAAGGCUCCAAGCUAGGCGUUAUUUUUCAUAAAGUUUCUAUCGAUUUCUAAUCAAAAUAUUUCUAUUAGCGUAACCCUACCUGGCGACCUCCAUCAGCCGGAGGUAUUCCUGGAGUCAAGGCAAGCAUGUUGACCAAUUGACGUAAAUGUGCAAUGUAAAUUUACCUCGGCACUUUGUUUUUGAAUGUGAUGGCGUUGUCUGAUACGUCUCCUCUGCACCAUAAAUUUACGUAGGAUUAGAUUAAUGUUAAAAGGCCCGUAGCAACGCACGGGCAUUGUACUAGUAGAAGUAGGAGCCCACCACAUCUAUGAUGAUACCGGGUUUUGUCACAAUUAUCGUCAUAGAAGUGUCAUAUGUAUGACAGAAAAAAAUUCGUUCGGCCCAAAAUGUCACGGAUGUGUCUUUUUUUGUAGUGAGAAGCGGAAUUCAACGAAGUCAUGAUGGUUCCUUCGUCUGAGCAACUUCAAAGUGGGAAGUGGGCCUGUGAUUUGACGGCUCAUUAGUCAUUGUUACUGUGGUGCGACGACCUGGGUGACUCUCCCUUGGAGUUCUGCGUGCAUGGCAAGUGGACCAGGAUGGUCGACGUCCCACAUGUUGACGAACGGAAGUAUUCUUUCCGAUAUCGAGGAGCAAGGAAACCGCGUGGUAUAGUAUCACUGCUGAUUGGUUCGCAAAAAAAUAGUAUCACUGCCGAUUUAUAAUUAUUUUUUAUUUCUGAUCAAUGCUAGCGUUUCAACUCUUACGACGAAGGGUGCCAAACACGGCACGUGCUGGAUGUCCCACACGCCAGCGAAAGGAGUGGGACAUGAACAGCGUGGUAGAGCCCAGCGUAAAAAAACAGCGUGGUAGAGCGUCUCCACUUCUUCCACUUCUGGGUCGGAGACCACACGUAGUAGUACUUAGUGGUAUGAACGAUACAAAGUGCAACCUGGAGAGAAAGACACGUCUAGUUGGAAGGUCUCGGGGCAUACACAUAGACAAAUAUAAAAGUUAAUAUGUGCGUCCAACUAAUAUAGUAGUAGUAGAGUACUUAGGCACGUACUCCAUAACAUCACCGUGCAUUGCACGUACAACAUUUAGUGGUAGUACGUAGUAAGAGACAAAUGCCGCCCAAGAGUUCCCUUCUCAACCUACUUUUGGGUGUUUGGUAGAGUGUAUGGAGGGUGCAUGAGUUCACACUGGUUUAGCACACUGGUUUAGCACAAAUACACUAGAAGCAUGCAUGAAGAGAGCAUGCAUGAAGAGGGGUGUUGAGUUGAGCAUGCAUGAAGAGGGAACAACUAUGCUGAGACGAGAACGCAACCAAACCCACCCUAUAUGCCACGCAUGUUCAUACCAUUUGUGCCUUUCUACUUCACUUACUACGCUACAUUACUCAGGUUCGUACGUCCACUCCUGGGUACAUGUCCGUCUCGUAGUUCCAGUCCCACGUGUUCUUCAUAUAGAUGGAACUAUCCUUGCAUAACACGUGCACCUUGAUGCUAGAUGUCUCGCGUGUUGGCAAAAGGAUGAACAAAGCUCACGUAAAAAAAUAGAGUGGAAGAACAUAGAUUCCGGACGACCGAGAAGGAGCAAGGAACCUCGUGGUGGAGCCUCUGCACUCAUAAUAUUUAAUAUUAUUCAGCGAUAUAAAAUUAACCAAUCAUCUCCAAAGUGGACUGGAAGAGUACGAAACACGGCAGCCCAGUGUAGUUACAUCAUACUAGUACAUGGCUAACCCACGCUAUCACCAUAUUUCUUGGCUUCCGUGCGACACCUAUCUCUAGUAAUCCAGCAGCCUGUAUCGCUUCUCCCUCCUCGUCUCUAUCAAAGUGCGGCGGGCUGGCGUUUCUGCCGUCUAUUGAGGUCGGUUAACUAUCACAUGUUAGCGACAUGCCAAGAGCAUUCAAAAAAAUUCCUUUCACGUUCCGUUUUCAAAAACAAAAAAAUCCUUUCACGUAUGAAUUUGCCUGUAUGCUUUGAGCAACUUGCAUGUCCUAUACUGCUCCUGUUUGAUACUCUAACUUAGCUGGAGGUUAGACUAACUCAUGACUAACCCUGAACUAACUGUAGCCAAAGAGGUGUUUGGGUGACAGGGUUAGAUUGACAAUAAAUGCACUUCAUGGAGAGAGAAAAGUGAUUUUUUAGUGGUCCCAAUGAGAACUAUCUCCAGUUAGCACCUCUUGGGUGGGAUAGUUUUUUUUGGUUGGUUCGGUGCAACUUGCUCCAAUUUAAACCCUCAUGCUUGGAUACUUUAGGGCUAUUUGAGCCCCAACUAGCUCAAACUAACUCUAACCCAUGGAUCCAAACAGGGCCUAUGGCCAGUCUCGACGCAGACCAGUCGCGUGCACCGGGAAGCGGCGCUCUCUCGGCCGUCGCGCCACUUCAAAGCCGACGCCAGUGAGAGGUCGCCUCCGCUCUGGCCGGGCAUUAAUGCGGCACUGACGCUCCAGGGCGACACUGACCGUUUCACGCGGGAAGCACGCGCUGGCAAGGGAGUAUAGGUUUUGAACCGUUUCAGGUGUAGUACUGGUAGUUUGCAAAACUACACAAUUAUUGCACUCAGUUUCCUAAGAAAUUGUGGUAAAAAAUGUUACUCCAUAGCCCGCUUCCCUUCUCCUUCCUCUUCCACCGCCCGCGCACGUCCGCGGGAAGCGACCGGUCAACCCUUAUAUAGGAGUGCUAGCACAAAAAGAUGCAUGCAUGACCACUAAAAUUUCCAUAUUAAAGCGCCGCUCCGGCGGGAGUAUGGCGUAUGUUGUUACCUUCGGCCGGCCCAUUGCUACCGGGCGACGGCGACCAGAGAAGAGGCGGCGGGAGGGGAAUGAAUGCAGCUACUGUUUGGGUUCGCCUUCCGGCUUAAAUAAAUGCGCAGCAUCACGUGUACCCGCGGGUGCACAAAUUGUAACAUACGUGUCUGCUUAAGUGGGCGUCACGUAACUGGUGUGUGUGUGAGAGAGAUUCUAAGAGACAGAGUGCGUGUGUGCAACUCUACUCUUCGGACAUGUACUCAACCUUUUGCAUCGGGAUAUAAGUAUAAUGUUAUUUACUUUAGGUAGUGAUUUACGUGGCCAUGUUAACGUGGUUGUGUCAAAAAAAUGUCACUUCCUGCUCGUGAUUUGCGUUAUAUAAUUACAAGCAAGAUUCUCGUGCAUUGCACGGAACAUCAAUAUGCAUUUUUUUUACAGAACACCUGUUGUGAUUGACCCAUGCAGGAGUAAUCCCAUGUGUAAAAACUAAUGAUAUCUCGAGAAUUUUAUCGGAAAACUGGUAUCUCGAGAAUGUCAUCGAAAAAAUGAAAGAUGAGAGAUAAGGCGAGGAGGAGUGGAGCGUGGUGGUGACUGGUGGUCGGAAUGGGCGGAGGCAUGGGGAUGGACGGCGCCGGCAGGCGGCAGCGGCCACCAUGCAUGCUAGAUUGUUCCAGAGACUUAUUCCUUUUUUAAUUGCUGAGCAAUGAGGUUGCGGGAGAUAAUGAUGUGGAGAGAGGUGCGGGUAUCUUUUGUAAAAUUAUCAUAGUUUGCUUUCUAUCCUCAGAUUAGAUCAUACGGUCUGUAUUACAAGAUGGCAGGCACACCAUCACCGCCAACUCGUUUUUUUAUAAGGGUACAGAUGAUAAGUUUGCUGACUACUAAAGUAAAGUGGAAUUUGUCCAUGUUAUGCAAGUAAAUAAAGGUGAUUGUUUAUCAUACGGGUAAGGUUGGAUGAAGGGUGGUAGGAACAAAUGCUCCGCCUAGAGCAUGUGUGUGUGAGAUGGAGUCUUAGUGUGUGUGUGGGGUGUGUGUGUGAGAGAGAGAGAGGAGAGAGAGAGAUGGAGUCUUAGUUUGUGUGUGUGUGAGAGAGAGAGAGAGAGAUGGAGUCCUAGUGUGUGUGGGGGGUGUGCGUGCGUGCGUGUGUGUGUGUGUUUGUGUGUGUGUGAGAGAGAGAGAUGGAGUCUUAGUGUGCGUGUGUGGGGGGUGCGNNNNNNNNNNNNNNNNNNNNNNNNNNNNNNNNNNNNNNNNNNNNNNNNNNNNNNNNNNNNNNNNNNNNNNNNNNNNNNNNNNNNNNNNNNNNNNNNNNNNNNNNNNNNNNNNNNNNNNNNNNNNNNNNNNNNNNNNNNNNNNNNNNNNNNNNNNNNNNNNNNNNNNNNNNNNNNNNNNNNNNNNNNNNNNNNNNNNNNNNNNNNNNNNNNNNNNNNNNNNNNNNNNNNNNNNNNNNNNNNNNNNNNNNNNNNNNNNNNNNNNNNNNNNNNNNNNNNNNNNNNNNNNUGCAUGGCUUCAUCAUAGAGAGGUGAUGUGUAUGGCAGAGGCCACCAACGAUGGGGUGCGAGAGAGAAAAUGCACGUAGAGAGGGAAGAGAAGGUGUGUGCGCGUGAGAGGAGUCGACAUUGAGAGAACGUGUUUGUUCGAGAGACACCGAGGAAGACUACUAUAUAUCGAUGGUGCAUGUAGGCGGGAAUUAAACAAAGGGAUGGUCUUAUUGGUUUCGGGGAUAUAUGGGAAGAGUGAGAGGCGGGGGGGUAGCUAGAAGGAGAUUGUUAAGUGUGAGUGUGUGUUUUACCCAUCCAGGCGGAAGUUAUGUGCACAACAGAGGAGAACGAUUUGAUGUGGCGUUAGGAUUGAGGGUAAUUAAACGUAUGGAGACAUAGAGACCUUGAACGUGCAUGUGUGAGAGGUAUACAUGUAUACGUGGGAUGUGUGUGUGUGCACGCGCGCAUGAUCGAGAUAAAAGAAAGAAGACAUAAGUCAUAAGAUCAACGACAUGGGAGAGACGGAUCGGUAUGACAAUAUGCAUGCAUGUGAGAAUGCAGGGAAGAAGGCCCGACAAUUGAGCAUGUGUUUUUGUCUUUAAGAGAUAGUGGCGUGGGCUGGAGCAUGCAUCUAUGGCGAGCAGAGGGAGUGAGGCGCAACGAUUGUGCAAAAGAGACCAACCUAUAAAUGCAUAUGUAUGGAGAGACAUAUAUAGUGUGGGUGAUAGGAAGCAAGACUCCGUGCGAGAAAUAAAUGUUGACGGAGAAACUACAGAUAGAUACAGAGAUGGAGAUGCUAGCUAGAGGGACAUCCGCUAGUUUGGGUGUUGGAGAUGACCGUCGGGUGGUUCAAAGGGUGAAGUUAUAUAUGUGUGUGAGAGGGCACUUGACUGCAUGUAGAGAGAAACAUAUGUAGUGUGCGUGAUAGGAAUCAAGAGUGAGGGCGAGAAAGAAGGUUGAUCGAGAAACAGAUAAAUAGAAAGAUAAAGAUGCUAGCUAGUGUGCGUUAGAGAUAGGAGUCGAGUGGAUCAGAAGGCUGGGUUAUGUGUGUGGGUGUGAGAGAGAUAGAGAGAGGGUGCAUGUGAGUCACAUAUAAACAGAUAUCAGGGAGAAAUGAGAUCCAGAGAGACGGAGUUUUGUGUCUGCGAGAGAGAAAGAUAUUUCACAACGAGAGUGAUAGCUAGAGAGACAUAUGAGGGAACGCAAGAUAUCUCUAGGGAGAGAGGGUGUGUGUGAGCGACAUACAAGAGAACAAUGGAGAAAUAUGAGACCCUCGGAGACAGAGUUUGUGUUUGUGUGUGAGAAAGAGAUAUUGAAGAGGAAGAGUCGUAGGUUCUCAUAUCUAAGGAGCGAAAGACAUCUGUGUAUGAGGGGUGUGCGAGUGGCACACAUGGGAAUAGUAGAGAGAAAUGAGACCCCGAGAGACAAAGUUUUGUGUUUGUGUGAGAGAAAGAGAUUCCACAUGGAGAAUCAUAGUUAGAGACACAUAGCAGGGAGCGAGAUAUACUUAGAGAGAGAUAGAGUGAUGAAGGUCGAGGGAGAGAGUACCGUCAGUGUGUUACGAAGAUAAAAGAUCAUUGUCGACAUACAGGUAGCACGAGAGAUACCUGAGAGACGAUGAACGCGUAUAGGUCCAGAGAGAUAGUCCUAUAUAAGCAUGAGUGAUAGCUAUAUGAGACGAAUAUCUGGAUUAAAGGGGAUUCAAAUAUUUAAACUGGAGAUCACGACAUCGAUAAUAUCAUAACGCAAAUUGGUGUAUCAAACAUGCAUAUUCAUUUGAAUUUGGGCACACGUGUAAUGUUAUAUAGUUUAUCAAUAUUGGUGAUCCAUAGAUUCUUCAAUUACAAACAAUGCAUGGUUUAUAUGCAAUUAAUUUCUAAACAGGAUUACACUAUAUGUUGCGUGUGUGAAACACAUUAUACAUGUUUGAGAAGCAAAAAAAACCGCAUGAAACACAAAUUAAUUGGAGACAGUUAGCGAGGAAUGCAUACAUUGGAUUUCAACAUAAAGUGGUUUUAAAUAUUUGAAAAUCCAAAUUGAUGGAUACAACCUUAUGAAUAUGAGAUCAUGCCAUUUGUAAACCAUAUUUAUGUAUAACUAGUGUUGUG
This 7059-nucleotide long non-coding RNA is filed under the name Triticum aestivum (bread wheat). RNAcentral's name for it is "long non-coding RNA (TAES_LNC018090)". Lineage: Eukaryota; Viridiplantae; Streptophyta; Magnoliopsida; Poales; Poaceae. The record is from RNAcentral.